GACGAACGCUGGCGGCGUGGAUUAGGCAUGCAAGUCGAACGGUAUCAUCCUUUCGGGGGUGAGAGAGUGGCGAACUGGUGAGUAACACGUAGGUUAUCUACCCUCAAGACGGGGACAACCCAGGGAAACUUGGGCUAAUACCGGAUGUGAGCAACUUUUAGUUGUUUGAAAGGUGGCGUAAGCUGUCGCUUGGGGAUGAGCCUGCGUCCUAUUAGUUAGUUGGUGAGGUAACGGCUCACCUAGGCAAUGAUAGGUAGGCGGCCUUAACGGGUGGUCGCCCACACUGGGAUUGAGAUACGGCCCAGACUCCUACGGGAGCAGCAGUCGAGAAUAGUCUACAAUGGUCGGAAGACUGAUAGUGCGACGCCGCGUGAACGAUGAAUCCCUUCGGGGUGUAAGUUCUUUUAUAUGUGAGCAGUGCUUCUUAUAUUAACAGUAUGGGAGAGAGAUAUUAGCAUAUGAAUAAGCAACGGCUAACUCCGUGCCAGCAGCCGACGGU
Molecule: ribosomal RNA, 499 nt
Filed under: uncultured bacterium
Lineage: Bacteria
Description: bacterial SSU rRNA
Rfam family: Bacterial small subunit ribosomal RNA
Source: RNAcentral